GGAUUUUGGACUCAUUGUGGCUUAAAUUCAACUAUCGAAAGUCUUUAUGCUGGUGUCCCAAUGCUUACUUUUCCGUUAUUCUGGGAUCAAGUUCCAAAUAGUAAGCAAAUUGUACAAGAUUGGAAGACUGGAUGGAGAGUGAAGAAACCUGAGAUAGCAAGUGAACGUUUGGUGACAAGAGAUGAAAUUACAGAGCUUGUGAAAAGGUUUAUGGAUUUGAAUAGUGAUGAGAGGAAAGAGAUGAGUAAAAGGGCCAGAGAAGUUCAAGAGAUUUGUCGAGAAGCAGCUGCAGAAAAUGGAUCAUCUAUUACUAACCUUGAUGCUUUUCUCAAGGACAUUUCACGUGCGUAGCCAUUUCAAUAAAGAAACCUUAUAGAAGCCUAUGUACCCACCUUAAGGUUCUUAUAAUCAAAAUUUUAUUAAGAUGUCCAGCAUCAAGCUCCCGUAGUUGUUUUAUCCCUUUUUUUUUUUUGGGUCCUGUUUACUUUUCCUCAAACCAAAUGAAAUUAGAGUUGUAUUGGAUGCUAUUGAUUUUUUGUGAUCAUACAAUUUUAUUUAAGUUAUUGUAUUUGUCAAUUAUUAGAUCAGUGGAUGAUCAGAUGCAUGAUGUGUAUGGAACACUAUUGCGCAAUAUAUUCAUUUCAAUGGAAUAAGAUCUCAAAACUGAAAAUUAAAAGAAUAAAAAAAAGGUAAAUUCCAAUUUUCCCCAUUUAGAAUGACAAUUUCCACCGUAUCUCCUGAGAUUAUGAAAACAUCAUUCACCCCCAAAUUAGAAUGAAUAGUUUAUGAGAUUUCAAGAAAAAUCAACUCAAGCAAGUCUUUGAAAGUUUAUAGAAUUAUUCUCUAUUUUCAUAGACAAUUAACUAAAACUCUCAAUUUUCUUAUGUGCAUUGAUCAUUGUAAGUCUUUCUCAUUUUUCUUCACGCUGCAUGGCCUGAACAUCACAUUUAUUUUAUACUUAUUGAUGUAGAGCAGAGCCGGUAUUGCGACAAUGGCUACGGAAUUUUCAUUAAAAGCAAAAACAAAAAUCUAAAUCACUAGGACUGAAGUGAGAUAUUUCUAGAACUUCUAGUUUUCUGGGUUGUUCCAACAAACAAAAGGACUCAAUUUCAAUUAAUCAGAAAAAUGAAUUGAAGGAAAGAAGGGCUGAAACGUAAACGUAAAUGGGGCGACCCCAAGAAAAAGAUUCCCGGUGUAAACACUUUCCAAGAUGGCGUGCGGCCGGCAUUAUUGCACAGGGGAGAGUAUUACAUUACUUUAUAAUGAAAGUAAUGUAAUACUUUAGUUUGUUCAUGAGAGAGGAUUUGCUGCUUUUUUUUUUUUUUUUAAGAGAGAGAGGAUUUGCUGGUCACUAGUACAAAUCUGACGCAUGUAAAAUUAAUUUUGUUAUGGAUCACUCCAGAAUGAAAGCAACCGGCAGAAUGUGUCAUAUAGUUGCCCUGCCUUAUCCUGGAAGAGGUCACAUCAAUCCGAUGAUGAACCUCUGCAAGCUACUUGUUUCCAGAAACCCAAAUGUUUUCAUCACCUUUGUUGUGACCGAAGAGUGGCUGAGCUUUAUCGGCUCCGGACACGGUAAUCAUAAUAACAUUCGUUUUGAAACAAUACCCAAUGUUAUACCUUCCGAGCUUGUUCGUGCCAGGGACUUUCUUGCUUUCGUGGAAUCUGUUUCUACAAAGAUGGAAGCUCCAUUCGAGAAGGUCUUAGAUUUUCUUCAAGUUGAGGCACCCGUGGUGUCUGCUAUUAUAGUUGAUACUUUCUUGGCCUGGGCUGUUGAUGUGGGCAACCGCAGGAACAUUCCCGUUGCUUCGUUUUGGUCCAUGUCUGCUUCUCUGUUUUCAGUGUUUCAUCACUUUGAGCUCCUUGUACAAAACGGGCAUUUCCCUGUUGAACUCUCAGGUAUGUACGGUUGCCCCAAGAACUAAUAUUUGUUUAAAACUAUUCUCUUUUGUUACUAACUUCAGAUUAAUUAAUGCGUCCACUUUCGUUAAUUACUACAACUAUCUAUUCACAUACAUUUAUAUAUGCUUGCAUGAACAGUAGUUGUUCUCUUCUGCAAUGUUUGCACUUCAUCGAAUGAACAUUUAAAAUCAAGCAAUACAGAAUUUUUUUCCCCCAAUGACAAAAAGUAAAACAAUAUUGUAUAUGCUUUAAAUUUCAUUGUCUAUGCACUUGAGGAUUUUCAUAAACGUAUAUCCAUUUAUAGUAGCAAGCUACCUACUUGUAAUCAAAUCGUUCUGCUUAAUUGAACUUAUGUUUGGGUUAUUACAGAAAGGGGAGAAGAGGUAGUGGACUACAUUCCAGGACUGGCUUCCACAAAGUUAGCGGACCUGCCAACAAUAUUUUACGGAAGUGGCAGACAAACUCUGCAGCGUGCCCUGGAAAGUGUUUCAAAGGUGUCAAAAGCACAGUGUCUCCUCCUCUCCUCCGUCUACGAACUUGAAGCCAAAGUCAAUGAUACUUUGAAAGCAAAAUUCCCUUUUCCCGUCUACCCAAUUGGACCAACCAUUCCCUACUUCGAAAUCAAACGCAAUUUGUUAACGCCUACUAGUUUGAAUAUUAAGAAUGAGCCCGAUAAUUACUUCCAUUGGUUGGACUCUCAGCCAGAUAGCUCCGUUCUGUAUGUAUCGUUGGGAAGCCUUUGGUCAGUUUCAAGUGUCCAAAUGGAUGAAAUUGUAGCUGGUGUACGCAAUAGUGGCGUUCGUUUUUUCUGGGUGUCACGAGGUGACACUUCUUGGUUUAAAGAUGGAUGUGUUGACAGGGGCAUUGUGGUGCCUUGGUGUGACCAAUUGAAGGUGUUGUGUCAUUCUUCUAUUGGGGGAUUUUGGACUCAUUGUGGAUUAAAUUCCACUCUUGAAGCUGCUUAUGCUGGCGUCCCGAUGCUUACCUUUCCAAUAAUGAUGGAUCAAGUUCCAAAUAGUAAGCUAAUUGUUGAAGAUUGGAAGAUUGGAUGGAGAGUAAAGAAACCUGAGAUUGGAAGUGAAAGUUUGGUGACAAGAGAUGAAAUUACAGAGCUUGUGAAAAGGUUUAUGGAUUUGAACAAUGAUGAGAGGAAAGCUAUGAGUAAAAGGGCUAGAGAAGUUCAAGAGAUUUGUCAAGAAGCAGUUGCUGA
This 3109-nucleotide long non-coding RNA is filed under the name Citrus sinensis (sweet orange). Its description in RNAcentral is "long non-coding RNA (CSIN_LNC003690)". Lineage: Eukaryota; Viridiplantae; Streptophyta; Magnoliopsida; Sapindales; Rutaceae. The record is from RNAcentral.